RNAcentral lists this ribosomal RNA (220 nucleotides) under uncultured Glomus. RNAcentral's name for it is "partial small subunit ribosomal RNA". It matches the Rfam family "Eukaryotic small subunit ribosomal RNA", at positions 591 to 816 of the family's 1831-position model. The record is from RNAcentral. Lineage: Eukaryota; Fungi; Glomeromycota; Glomeromycetes; Glomerales; Glomeraceae.
CCAAUAGCGUAUAUUAAAGUUGUUGCAGUUAAAAAGCUCGUAGUUGAAUUUCGGGAUCAAUUUAUUGGUCGUGCCAACGGUACGCACUGGUACAAUUGGUUUCUCCCUUCUGACGAAGCAUGAUGUCAUUAACUUGGUGUCGUGGGGAAUCAGGACUGUUACUUUGAAAAAAUUAGAGUGUUUAAAGCAGGCUUUGGCUUGAAUACAUUAGCAUGGAAUA